AUGUGUUGUACACAAGGACGGGGGGGGUGGGGGGGUGCAACACCCACGCAGCCGCUCACGAAGAGGAGUCGCUGCCUCUGUGUGUGUGCGCGGCCAAGUUCACCCGCUGCACCCGCAUCCUCGGGGCUGUCGGGCAGGACCGGACCGGGCCGGGCCGAGAUCCCCCCCCCGCACCCGGGGACCCCCCCCGCCCCGGCCCGGCUCCUGCGGCUGCACCCCGCGCUGCGGUUCCCCGCACAGCCCCUCUCCCUCCCCGGCGUUCAGAUGUUUUCCUUUCGACAUUUAUAUUUUUCAAGUAUUUUUCAGUAACUAAAAAAAAAAAAAAAAAAAAAAUUAAACUCAACACUGAGGACCUGCCUAUUUCUGCCAACUUUAUAACUGUACAGUUUUGUAUAUUAAACGUUUUUUGGAAGUUAUUAAUUUAAAGAAAGAUCAUUUAGUUUAUUCAUUUAGUAACUGAUGUAUAAUAAACGCUAUUUUCAUUAAAGGUUGCUUUUUUCA
This 501-nucleotide long non-coding RNA is filed under the name Calidris pugnax (ruff). Its description in RNAcentral is "lncRNA (ENSCPUG00000002705.1)". The record is from RNAcentral. Lineage: Eukaryota; Metazoa; Chordata; Aves; Charadriiformes; Scolopacidae.